RNAcentral lists this unclassified non-coding RNA (376 nucleotides) under soil metagenome. Its description in RNAcentral is "partial contains 5.8S ribosomal RNA, internal transcribed spacer 2, and large subunit ribosomal RNA". The stretch from base 1 to 120 matches the Rfam family "5.8S ribosomal RNA", at positions 35 to 154 of the family's 154-position model. The record is from RNAcentral.
GAUGAAGAACGUAGCGAAAUGCGAUAAGUAAUGUGAAUUGCAGAAUUCAGUGAAUCAUCGAAUCUUUGAACGCAUCUUGCGCUCCUUGGUAUUCUGAGGAGCAUGCCUGUUUGAGUGUCAUUAAAUUCUCAACUACACUGACUUUGAAUUGGUGUGGCUUGGAUUUGGGGGGAAAAUUGUUGUGGGCUUUUUGUAUAGUCUGCUCCCCUGAAAUUGAUUAGCGGUACCUUUGUGGAACUGUCUACAGGUGUGAUAAUUAUCUACAUCUUAGACAUCUGCUGGAAUGCUGCUUUCUAAACCUUACUUGUAUUGACAAUCUUGACCUCCAAUCAGGUAGGACUACCCGCUGAACUUAAGCAUAUCAAUAAGCGGAGGA